UACGAAGGGGGCUAGCGUUGUUCGGAAUUACUGGGCGUAAAGCGCACGCAGGCGGAUUGAUAAGUCAGGGGUGAAAUCCCGGGGCUCAACCUCGGAAUUGCCUUUGAUACUGUCUAUCUUGAGUCCGGGAGAGGUGAGUGGAAUUCCUAGUGUAGAGGUGAAAUUCGUAGAUAUUAGGAAGAACACCAGUGGCGAAGGCGGCUCACUGGCCCGGUACUGACGCUCAUGUGCGAAAGCGUGGGGAGCAAACAGG
This 253-nucleotide ribosomal RNA is filed under the name uncultured bacterium. Its description in RNAcentral is "partial 16S ribosomal RNA". It matches the Rfam family "Bacterial small subunit ribosomal RNA", at positions 524 to 776 of the family's 1533-position model. The record is from RNAcentral.